ACGCCGCGUGAGGGUGAAGGCCUCUGGGCUGUAAACCUCUUUUCUCAAGGAAGAAGAUCUGACGGUACUUGAGGAAUAAGCCACGGCUAACUCCGUGCCAGCAGCCGCGGUAAUACGGGAGUGGCAAGCGUUAUCCGGAAUUAUUGGGCGUAAAGCGUCCGCAGGCGGCCCUUCAAGUCUGCUGUUAAAAAGUGGAGCUUAACUCCAUCGUGGCAGUGGAAACUGUUGGGCUAGAGUGUGGUAGGGGCAGAGGGAAUUCCCGGUGUAGCGGUGAAAUGCGUAGAUAUCGGGAAGAACACCAGUGGCGAAGGCGCUCUGCUGGGCCAUAACUGACGCUCAUG
This 341-nucleotide ribosomal RNA is filed under the name uncultured Synechococcus sp. Its description in RNAcentral is "bacterial SSU rRNA". It matches the Rfam family "Bacterial small subunit ribosomal RNA", at positions 394 to 751 of the family's 1533-position model. The record is from RNAcentral. Lineage: Bacteria; Bacillati; Cyanobacteriota; Cyanophyceae; Synechococcales; Synechococcaceae.